GAUGAACGCUGGCGGCGUGCCUAAUACAUGCAAGUCGAGCGAGCAGACGAGGAGCUUGCUCCUCUGACGUUAGCGGCGGACGGGUGAGUAACACGUGGAUAACCUACCUAUAAGACUGGGAUAACUUCGGGAAACCGGAGCUAAUACCGGAUAAUAUAUUGAACCGCAUGGUUCAAUAGUGAAAGACGGUUUUGCUGUCACUUAUAGAUGGAUCCGCGCCGCAUUAGCUAGUUGGUAAGGUAACGGCUUACCAAGGCAACGAUGCGUAGCCGACCUGAGAGGGUGAUCGGCCACACUGGAACUGAGACACGGUCCAGACUCCUACGGGAGGCAGCAGUAGGGAAUCUUCCGCAAUGGGCGAAAGCCUGACGGAGCAACGCCGCGUGAGUGAUGAAGGUCUUCGGAUCGUAAAACUCUGUUAUUAGGGAAGAACAAGUGUGUAAGUAACUAUGCACGUCUUGACGGUACCUAAUCAGAAAGCCACGGCUAACUACGUG
Molecule: ribosomal RNA, 497 nt
Filed under: uncultured bacterium
Lineage: Bacteria
Description: partial 16S ribosomal RNA
Rfam family: Bacterial small subunit ribosomal RNA
Source: RNAcentral